RNAcentral lists this ribosomal RNA (429 nucleotides) under Verrucomicrobiota bacterium. RNAcentral's name for it is "Verrucomicrobia bacterium partial 16S ribosomal RNA". It matches the Rfam family "Bacterial small subunit ribosomal RNA", at positions 355 to 776 of the family's 1533-position model. Lineage: Bacteria; Pseudomonadati; Verrucomicrobiota. The record is from RNAcentral.
UAGGGAAUCUUCCGCAAUGGACGAAAGUCUGACGGAGCAACGCCGCGUGAGUGAAGAAGGAUUUCGGUUCGUAAAACUCUGUUGUUAGGGAAGAAAAAAUGUAUAGUAACUAUAUACAAAAGAGACGGUACCUAACCAGAAAGCCACGGCUAACUACGUGCCAGCAGCCGCGGUAAUACGUAAGUGGCAAGCGUUGUCCGGAAUUAUUGGGCGUAAAGCGCGCGCAGGUGGUUUAGAAAGUCUGAUGUGAAAGCCCACGGCUCAACCGUGGAGGGUCAUUGGAAACUAAUAAACUUGAGUGCAGGAGAGAAAAGUGGAAUUCCUAGUGUAGCGGUGAAAUGCGUAGAGAUUAGGAGGAACACCGGUGGCGAAAGCGGCUUUUUGGCCUGCAACUGACACUGAGGCGCGAAAGCGUGGGGAGCAAACAGG